This 58-nucleotide transfer RNA is filed under the name Mamestra brassicae multiple nucleopolyhedrovirus. Its description in RNAcentral is "Mamestra brassicae MNPV tRNA". Lineage: Naldaviricetes; Lefavirales; Baculoviridae. The record is from Rfam by way of RNAcentral.
UGGUGUAAUGGUUAGCAUGAGUGACUUAUAAUCGCGACGAUGGUGGUUCGAUUCCGCC